GACGAAUGCUGGCGGCGUGCUUAACACAUGCAAGUCGAACGGAAAGGCCCUGCUUGCAGGGUACUCGAGUGGCGAACGGGUGAGUAACACGUGGGUGAUCUGCCCUGCACUUCGGGAUAAGCCUGGGAAACUGGGUCUAAUACCGGAUAGGAGCCAUUUUUAGUGUGAUGGUUGGAAAGUUUUUUCGGUGUAGGAUGAGCUCGCGGCCUAUCAGCUUGUUGGUGGGGUAAUGGCCUACCAAGGCGGCGACGGGUAGCCGGCCUGAGAGGGUGGACGGCCACAUUGGGACUGAGAUACGGCCCAGACUCCUACGGGAGGCAGCAGUGGGGAAUAUUGGACAAUGGGCGCAAGCCUGAUGCAGCGACGCCGCGUGGGGGAUGACGGCCUUCGGGUUGUAAACUCCUUUCGCUAGGGACGAAGCUUUUGUGACGGUACCUAGAUAAGAAGCACCGGCUAACUACGUG
This 464-nucleotide ribosomal RNA is filed under the name uncultured bacterium. RNAcentral describes it as "partial 16S ribosomal RNA". It matches the Rfam family "Bacterial small subunit ribosomal RNA", at positions 28 to 507 of the family's 1533-position model. The record is from RNAcentral.